This 492-nucleotide ribosomal RNA is filed under the name uncultured bacterium. RNAcentral describes it as "partial 16S ribosomal RNA". It matches the Rfam family "Bacterial small subunit ribosomal RNA", at positions 28 to 507 of the family's 1533-position model. The record is from RNAcentral.
GAUGAACGCUAGCUACAGGCUUAACACAUGCAAGUCGAGGGGAAACGACAUCGCAAGCUUGCUUUUGAUGGGCGUCGACCGGCGCACGGGUGAGUAACGCGUAUCCAACCUGCCCACCACUUGGGGAUAACCUUGCGAAAGUAAGACUAAUACCCAAUGACGUCUCUAGAAGACAUCUGAAAGAGAUUAAAGAUUUAUCGGUGAUGGAUGGGGAUGCGUCUGAUUAGCUUGUUGGCGGGGUAACGGCCCACCAAGGCAACGAUCAGUAGGGGUUCUGAGAGGAAGGUCCCCCACAUUGGAACUGAGACACGGUCCAAACUCCUACGGGAGGCAGCAGUGAGGAAUAUUGGUCAAUGGACGAGAGUCUGAACCAGCCAAGUAGCGUGCAGGAAGACGGCCCUAUGGGUUGUAAACUGCUUUUAUAAGGGAAUAAAGUUAGUCUCGUGAGACUUUUUGCAUGUACCUUAUGAAUAAGGACCGGCUAAUUCCGUG